AUCCCAUGGUGAGGAUAAGCUCUUGUGUACCCCUUCAUACGCUCCCAUGCGUCAUACAAACUCUCUUCUUCGCCUUGCUCAAUCCUAGCAAUAUCAUUCCUUAUCCU
Arabis alpina (gray rockcress) is the source of this 107-nucleotide non-coding RNA. NCBI's taxonomy places the organism in Eukaryota, Viridiplantae, Streptophyta, Magnoliopsida, Brassicales, Brassicaceae. The record is from Rfam.